AUGAAGGGUUAUGAUGGCAGUGGCAGCUCAUGUAUAGGCACUGUAGAACUGCAGCACCCCCUAUUUCCACUCGAUAUUAUCGAUAACAUUCAAU
This is a long non-coding RNA of Octopus sinensis (East Asian common octopus), 94 nucleotides long. RefSeq lists it as uncharacterized. Lineage: Eukaryota; Metazoa; Mollusca; Cephalopoda; Octopoda; Octopodidae. The record is from RefSeq and is a predicted model, not a curated record. The transcript is spliced from 3 exons.